RNAcentral lists this unclassified non-coding RNA (437 nucleotides) under Clinopodium arkansanum. RNAcentral's name for it is "partial external transcribed spacer". The record is from RNAcentral. Lineage: Eukaryota; Viridiplantae; Streptophyta; Magnoliopsida; Lamiales; Lamiaceae.
GUAUUGCGCGAUGGAUCCCUGCUCGGGCAGCGACAUCGUCUCAUUCACGCCUCUUCAUUUGUUGGCGCGAGCAUCCGCUCGCCCAUUGUYGGYUUUCCUGUGCUGGAUACCCGUCCCGGGGCAUYAAACGUCGGUUAAAUUGUUCUCAGCCGYCUCGCUCUGCUGCCCCUCGCGGGCAAGCGGCGCGGGGYGGCCCACGUAGCKCAYGCCGUGUGUCCCAUCCCGGUGGCCCCGUAAGAAGGGCGUCCGGGCUGACGAUCCAYGGCUUGAUGCUCGGACCCUUGGGUACGGAACGUCGCGUGGGGUACGGGGCCGUYGGCCCCGGAGCACCACAAACAAGCGUUCUACGCUUCGUGCGAACGACCGUYGGCCCGGUCUCCUGCCGGCCCCCGUGGCUCGGCUUGGGACCGUGYCGGCGUCGAUGAGGAAUGCUACCU